UACGAAGGGGGCUAGCGUUGCUCGGAAUGACUGGCGUAAAGGGCGCGUAGGCGGUUCGUACAGUCAGACGUGAAAUUCCUGGGCUCAACCUGGGGGCUGCGUUUGAUACGUGCGGACUUGAGUGCGGAAGAGGGUCGUGGAAUUCCCAGUGUAGAGGUGAAAUUCGUAGAUAUUGGGAAGAACACCGGUGGCGAAGGCGGCGACCUGGUCCGAUACUGACGCUGAGGCGCGAAAGCGUGGGGAGCAAACAGG
Molecule: ribosomal RNA, 252 nt
Filed under: uncultured bacterium
Lineage: Bacteria
Description: partial 16S ribosomal RNA
Rfam family: Bacterial small subunit ribosomal RNA
Source: RNAcentral